UCGGCAUUUGGCAGCCGAUCGCUCCAUCGCCACUCACCUUCUCGAGCCCUCCCUCUCAAUGAUCACGACGGGUCUGCUGUUCACAUGAGUAGACGGCGGCCGCCGUCUCCGUAGGAGGAGAUGGUGGUAGUGAAGAAGCCCUCGCGGUGGUCGGACGCCCUCACUACCAUCCUCCUUUCGAGCCUCCUCCUUGCCGCUGCGCCUUUCGGGUGAAGGCGCCCUAACUCAUAUGGUCAUGCAGAUCCUCAUGAAUGCCUGUGGCCUUUGGCAAACAAAAGAUGCUGCCUUGAGAUAAGACCACUUGUAGUACCUUUGUUCAUCAAUUUGAGGAUGAAUGAUAAACACUGUAUUCGUCUGAAUACUAAUGACUGAAAAUUUCACAAAAUGAACAGCUUUGGGGAAAAUACUUUGUGAUGCUUAUUGUUGCGGCAGAACAUAUCAGUGGCCAGCCAGGCAUUGGGUUUCAGGAGGCAGGUUGAUAGCGUCUGACAUGUGCAUUGGCGUGGCGUGAAGAACCGAGCCUGAGUAGGCGUUAAUGCGCCUCGGUCGGUGUUCCGGUUCGGUUGACCGAGUGCAGUCGCGUCGAUCGAGGCGUGAGGCGUCGGCUGACGUCAGCCGAGUCUUAUCGUAAUUACUAUCCUCAUCAGCACCAAAAAUUAUAAGAAAAUAUUGUAGGCGAUGGUGAUAAAAAUGGAUUAGAAAUUAGUCUUACAAUUUUAAGAUUAUAAUAGUCAGAUGAUGUCUGGGUUGAUCCGCUACUUGAUCUAUUACUUCUGGUGAUGGUGAUGAAGAGUAAUUAAUUAAGCCAAGACAUGCUGCCUCCUUACAUACCCUAACAUACAUAUUUGGUGGUUUAAAUUCUGCAUCAUCCUUGCCUAUAUAUGCUUUAAUUGUUGAAUCGGGAUAAGAUCAUCUUUCCACUGUCAUCUAAUGCAGUCGAAGAUGAGAAAGCAAUGAGAACCCACUAGGAAGGAGAGAAAAGUCCCAAAAAGAAGAGGUAUAUGAGUUCACAGGAAAGGGUUUCUGUACACAAGUCAUCUACGUGAAUACUUAGGCUACCAAUUAGUCUAACCAGUCUCCCAUUAAGGUAAAUUAGUAAUCAUCGUCUUCGUCUCGCGGUACCACCCGUUUCCCAAUGUGAAUGGGAGUGGGCUCGAGGUUAUCCAGUGACUGCUCUCCCGUCACCCUCCGUUGUUGCUGCACCACUAGCGUCGACGCCUCGCCGCCGAAGUCCGUCGAUGCCAGCAUGUCCCCGAUGACCCCCAGCUCCGGGUACUCGCUCCACAUCGACAUCCCCGCCGUCAUCAGCGACUCCUUCCCCUCCCUCCGACCCACGAUCAGCAAGCUGAACUCGGGGCUCGUCUCAUGGAUCACCCUCACCAUCGCCUCCCCGUCCUUUGCCUCCUCCUCCCUGUACAUCACCCGCUUCUCGUCCACCCACUCCUGCCGGUAUUGCAUUAGCAUCUUGUCGUCGAGCCUCUCCUCCCAUCCGUCUUCCCGCCACUCUUUGGGCGGGAGGAAGCGCACCACCGUCAGCGAGGCGGCGGCGCGCUCCACCAUGCGCACGCCGUAGGCCAGCGCCUCCCGGUCGUCGGC
Molecule: long non-coding RNA, 1596 nt
Organism: Musa acuminata AAA Group (dessert banana)
Lineage: Eukaryota; Viridiplantae; Streptophyta; Magnoliopsida; Zingiberales; Musaceae
Exons: 3
Source: RefSeq, a predicted model, not a curated record